Molecule: ribosomal RNA, 254 nt
Filed under: Bembidion orion
Lineage: Eukaryota; Metazoa; Arthropoda; Insecta; Coleoptera; Carabidae
Description: partial 28S large subunit ribosomal RNA
Source: RNAcentral
AAACCCGAAAGUUCGAACGGGGAGAUUCAAUUGAUUUACCGGUGAUGAUCAAUAGUGCAGUAUUUGGGACGCAUAUGAUAUGCAGUUUCGAUUGUAUUAUUAUAUACGCUCUGCUGUCUGUUGUUUAUUUAUUGUCGGAGUCAUGCACUUCUCCCCUUGUAGGACGUCGUGACCCGUUGAGCAAUUUAAGCCAUCUACGGCCCGUGGUGGAGCCCGUAUGUAAUUUAUUAUAUUCGGACCCAUGGUGACCUGAU